UGAGUGCUAUGAUCGUAAUUUAGUCCAAUACUACUCUUAAUUAAAUCUGACAUCUAGCAGAACUAGAUCCAAUUCAUAGAAUCACAAAAUUCACUCAAAACUGAAGCCUGUUCCCACAGAAGCAUAAGAAAUUAAGAACACCCAAGGUCAUAUGCAUAGAAGAACAAAAAGAUUUUUCCAGAAGCCAAGGAAAACCAGAUCAUGGAAGCCACUAAGGUUCAUUUGGGUAAUGCUAAUUGAUAUGCUAGGAAAUUACUACUCCAGGUUCAGAUAUUAAGAUUUAAGACCAAGCCAGUAACACUCUGAAGGAAAAAUCAACAAGAAGAAAUGAAUAAACUACUCAUAGAAGUUGCACAGAUCAAUACCUAAGCCUGUGAUGUCAAACAAUUAGCCUCCCAAUCAAUUUUCGUUACACUAGGCUGAAG
RNAcentral lists this long non-coding RNA (425 nucleotides) under Manihot esculenta (cassava). RNAcentral's name for it is "long non-coding RNA (MESC_LNC001800)". Lineage: Eukaryota; Viridiplantae; Streptophyta; Magnoliopsida; Malpighiales; Euphorbiaceae. The record is from RNAcentral.